AGACCCGAAACCCGGUGAUCUAGCCAUGGGCAGGUUGAAGGUUGGGUAACACUAACUGGAGGACCGAACCGACUAAUGUUGAAAAAUUAGCGGAUGACCUGUGGCUGGGGGUGAAAGGCCAAUCAAACCGGGAGAUAGCUGGUUCUCCCCGAAAGCUAUUUAGGUAGCGCCUCGUGAAUUCAUCUCCGGGGGUAGAGCACUGUUUCGGCUAGGGGGCCAUCCCGGCUUACCAACCCGAUGCAAACUGCGAAUACCGGAGAAUGUUAUCACGGGAGACACACGGCGGGUGCUAACGUCCGUCGUGAAGAGGGAAACAACCCAGACCGCCAGCUAAGGUCCCAAAGUCAUGGUUAAGUGGGAAACGAUGUGGGAAGGCCCAGACAGCCAGGAUGUUGGCUUAGAAGCAGCCAUCAUUUAAAGAAAGCGUAAUAGCUCACUGGUCGAGUCGGCCUGCGCGGAAGAUGUAACGGGGCUAAACCAUGCACCGAAGCUGCGGCAGCGAACGUAUCACCCAAGACAACUUUACGGAGUUGACGAUUGACGGAGCGAAGCGACGUCAAAGCGUUCAUUAAAGUCGAGUUGGCUUAGGGAUACGUUCGUUGGGUAGGGGAGCGUUCUGUAAGCCUGUGAAGGUGUGUCGUGAGGCAUGCUGGAGGUAUCAGAAGUGCGAAUGCUGACAUAAGUAACGAUAAAGCGGGUGAAAAGCCCGCUCGCCGGAAGACCAAGGGUUCCUGUCCAACGUUAAUCGGGGCAGGGUGAGUCGACCCCUAAGGCGAGGCCGAAAGGCGUAGUCGAUGGGAAACGGGUUAAUAUUCCCGUACUUGGUGUUACUGCGAAGGGGGGACGGAGAAGGCUAUGUUGGCCGGGCGACGGUUGUCCCGGUUUAAGCGUGUAGGUGUGUGUUCCAGGUAAAUCCGGUUCACUUUAACACUGAGGCGUGACGACGAGGCACUACGGUGCUGAAGCAACAAAUGCCCUGCUUCCAGGAAAAGCCUCUAAGCAUCAGGUAACAUCAAAUCGUACCCCAAACCGACACAGGUGGUCAGGUAGAGAAUACCAAGGCGCUUGAGAGAACUCGGGUGAAGGAACUAGGCAAAAUGGUGCCGUAACUUCGGGAGAAGGCACGCUGACACGUAGGUGAAGUGAUUUACUCAUGGAGCUGAAGUCAGUCGAAGAUACCAGCUGGCUGCAACUGUUUAUUAAAAACACAGCACUGUGCAAACACGAAAGUGGACGUAUACGGUGUGACGCCUGCCCGGUGCCGGAAGGUUAAUUGAUGGGGUCAGCGCAAGCGAAGCUCCUGAUCGAAGCCCCGGUAAACGGCGGCCGUAACUAUAACGGUCCUAAGGUAGCGAAAUUCCUUGUCGGGUAAGUUCCGACCUGCACGAAUGGCGUAAUGAUGGCCAGGCUGUCUCCACCCGAGACUCAGUGAAAUUGAACUCGCUGUGAAGAUGCAGUGUACCCGCGGCAAGACGGAAAGACCCCGUGAACCUUUACUAUAGCUUGACACUGAACAUUGAGCCUUGAUGUGUAGGAUAGGUGGGAGGCUUUGAAGUGUGGACGCCAGUCUGCAUGGAGCCGACCUUGAAAUACCACCCUUUAAUGUUUGAUGUUCUAACGUGGACCCGUAAUCCGGGUUGCGGACAGUGUCUGGUGGGUAGUUUGACUGGGGCGGUCUCCUCCUAAAGAGUAACGGAGGAGCACGAAGGUUGGCUAAUCCUGGUCGGACAUCAGGAGGUUAGUGCAAUGGCAUAAGCCAGCUUGACUGCGAGCGUGACGGCGCGAGCAGGUGCGAAAGCAGGUCAUAGUGAUCCGGUGGUUCUGAAUGGAAGGGCCAUCGCUCAACGGAUAAAAGGUACUCCGGGGAUAACAGGCUGAUACCGCCCAAGAGUUCAUAUCGACGGCGGUGUUUGGCACCUCGAUGUCGGCUCAUCACAUCCUGGGGCUGAAGUAGGUCCCAAGGGUAUGGCUGUUCGCCAUUUAAAGUGGUACGCGAGCUGGGUUUAGAACGUCGUGAGACAGUUCGGUCCCUAUCUGCCGUGGGCGCUGGAGAACUGAGGGGGGCUGCUCCUAGUACGAGAGGACCGGAGUGGACGCAUCACUGGUGUUCGGGUUGUCAUGCCAAUGGCACUGCCCGGUAGCUAAAUGCGGAAGAGAUAAGUGCUGAAAGCAUCUAAGCACGAAACUUGCCCCGAGAUGA
This 2200-nucleotide ribosomal RNA is filed under the name Salmonella enterica. RNAcentral describes it as "partial 23S ribosomal RNA". It matches the Rfam family "Bacterial large subunit ribosomal RNA", at positions 711 to 2807 of the family's 2925-position model. The record is from RNAcentral. Lineage: Bacteria; Pseudomonadati; Pseudomonadota; Gammaproteobacteria; Enterobacterales; Enterobacteriaceae. RNAcentral also lists the same sequence under 1 other name.